RNAcentral lists this ribosomal RNA (257 nucleotides) under uncultured bacterium. Its description in RNAcentral is "partial 16S ribosomal RNA". It matches the Rfam family "Bacterial small subunit ribosomal RNA", at positions 521 to 776 of the family's 1533-position model. The record is from RNAcentral.
UAAGACGAACCGUGCGAACGUUAUUCGGAAUCAUUGGGCUUAAAGGGCGCGUAGGCGGCGGUGUAAGUUGGAAGUGAAAUCCCAUCGGCUCAACCGUGGAAUUGCUCCCAGUACUGCAUCGCUCGAGGGGGAUAGGGGUUUGCGGAACUACCGGUGGAGCGGUGAAAUGUGUUGAUAUCGGUGGGAACGCCAGUGGCGAAAGCGGCAAACUUGACCCUUCCUGACGCUGAGGCGCGAAAGCUAGGGGAGCAAACGGG